This 535-nucleotide ribosomal RNA is filed under the name Aspergillus flavus. Its description in RNAcentral is "eukaryotic LSU rRNA". The stretch from base 151 to 304 matches the Rfam family "5.8S ribosomal RNA". Lineage: Eukaryota; Fungi; Ascomycota; Eurotiomycetes; Eurotiales; Aspergillaceae. The record is from RNAcentral.
CCUCCCACCCGUGUUUACUGUACCUUAGUUGCUUCGGCGGGAAGGAAACUGGCCGCCGGGGGCUCUCAGCCCCGGGCCCGCGCAGAAGGAGACACCACGAACUCUGUCUGAUCUAGUGAAGUCUGAGUUGAUUGUAUCGCAAUCAGUUAAAACUUUCAACAAUGGAUCUCUUGGUUCCGGCAUCGAUGAAGAACGCAGCGAAAUGCGAUAACUAGUGUGAAUUGCAGAAUUCCGUGAAUCAUCGAGUCUUUGAACGCACAUUGCGCCCCCUGGUAUUCCGGGGGGCAUGCCUGUCCGAGCGUCAUUGCUGCCCAUCAAGCACGGCUUGUGUGUUGGGUCGUCGUCCCCUCUCCGGGGGGGACGGGCCCCAAAGGCAGCGGCGGCACCGCGUCCGAUCCUCGAGCGUAUGGUUUCUUUGUCACCCGCUCUGUAGGCCCGGCCGGCGCUUGCCGAACGCAAAUCAAUCUUUUUCCAGGUUGACCUCGGAUCAGGUAGGGAUACCCGCUGAACUUAAGCAUAUCAAUAAGCGGAGGAA